AUUGAACGCUGGCGGCAUGCCUUACACAUGCAAGUCGAACGGCAGCGGACCUUCGGUGCCGGCGAGUGGCGAACGGGUGAGUAAUAUAUCGGAACGUACCUUUCAGUGGGGGAGUAACGUAGCGAAAGUUACGCUAAUACAGCAUAUUCUGUGAGCAGGAAAGCAGGGGAUCGCAAGACCUUGCGCUGAUUGAGCGGCCGAUAUCAGAUUAGCUAGUUGGCGAGGUAAAGGCUCACCAAGGCGACGAUCUGUAGCGGGUCUGAGAGGAUGAUCCGCCACACUGGAACUGAGACACGGUCCAGACUCCUACGGGAGGCAGCAGUGGGGGAAUUUUUGGACAAUGGGCGCAAGACCUCGAUCCACGCCAUGCCGCCGUGAGUGAAGAAGGCC
RNAcentral lists this ribosomal RNA (390 nucleotides) under uncultured bacterium. Its description in RNAcentral is "bacterial SSU rRNA". It matches the Rfam family "Bacterial small subunit ribosomal RNA", at positions 30 to 416 of the family's 1533-position model. The record is from RNAcentral.